CCAGUUUCCCCAGGGACGACCUCCUGAGUUCUAAUGAGAAUGAGUAAUGAAUCCCUUUACCCACUGCAUAUAAUAUCGUACAAAAAGAUUUUAAGCUCUAAAAAAAUAAAAAAAGAUUAUCUUAUACUUAUGAGGCUUCACUCAGCUAGAUAUAUUUACUCACAGAGCAGGUUCUUCGUGUUUUGAAGUUAAAUCCUAAUUUUGUGGCUUCAUCUAGGCUAGAUAGAAAUAUUU
Pelobates cultripes (western spadefoot toad) is the source of this 234-nucleotide non-coding RNA. The record is from the annotation of a GenBank genome assembly. NCBI's taxonomy places the organism in Eukaryota, Metazoa, Chordata, Amphibia, Anura, Pelobatidae.